Long non-coding RNA from Micropterus salmoides (largemouth bass), 243 nucleotides. RefSeq lists it as uncharacterized. The record is from RefSeq and is a predicted model, not a curated record. Lineage: Eukaryota; Metazoa; Chordata; Actinopteri; Centrarchiformes; Centrarchidae. The transcript is spliced from 3 exons.
AUGGUCUUGGCUUCUUUGACGGGUGAUGUCAUCUGGUAGUCGUCGCCCAGCAGACCAAGCAGAGGACUCGGACCCUCUGCUUUCGUCAGCCCUGCCAGACUUAUCUUAAAAAACCUCCUGUUGUGUUCUCUGUCUGCUCCCAGUUCCUCCCGAAACCAAACCCUAACAGACCUCUUCCUGUCGGGUGAUGGUGGUCUGUCGCUGAUCCAACAUGGCGAGCAGCUCUGAGAUUUUCAGCUGGAG